GAUGAACGCUGGCGGCGUGCCUAAUACAUGCAAGUCGAGCGAACAGACGAGGAGCUUUCUCCUCUGACGUUAGCGGCGGACGGGGGAGUAACACGUGGAUAACCUACCUAUAAGACUGGGAUAACUUCGGGAAACCGGAGCUAAUACCGGAUAAUAUAUUGAACCGCAUGGUUCAAUAGUGAAAGACGGUUUUGCUGUCACUUAUAGAUGGAUCCGCGCCGCAUUAGCUAGUUGGUAAGGUAACGGCUUACCAAGGCAACGAUGCGUAGCCGACCUGAGAGGGUGAUCGGCCACACUGGAACUGAGACACGGUCCAGACUCCUACGGGAGGCAGCAGUAGGGAAUCUUCCGCAAUGGGCGAAAGCCUGACGGAGCAACGCCGCGUGAGUGAUGAAGGUCUUCGGAUCGUAAAACUCUGUUAUUAGGGAAGAACAAAUGUGUAAGUAACUAUGCACGUCUUGACGGUACCUAAUCAGAAAGCCACGGCUAACUACGUG
This 497-nucleotide ribosomal RNA is filed under the name uncultured bacterium. Its description in RNAcentral is "partial 16S ribosomal RNA". It matches the Rfam family "Bacterial small subunit ribosomal RNA", at positions 28 to 507 of the family's 1533-position model. The record is from RNAcentral.